Molecule: long non-coding RNA, 417 nt
Organism: Coregonus clupeaformis (lake whitefish)
Lineage: Eukaryota; Metazoa; Chordata; Actinopteri; Salmoniformes; Salmonidae
Exons: 2
Source: RefSeq, a predicted model, not a curated record
CCCAGUUGUCUUGAAAGCACCAUAAAUCUAGAGAAUGACAGAGUUUGAUGACAAAGUUUAAUAACAAAACUUGCCCACAAGAAGAUACGCCACGCCACCUUCCUGUUCAAGUGAGCACAGCACAACGUUCCAACCAGGUUGAAGAGCUACCUUUCCCAGAGCAUGGUUCCACACAGAAGCCCCUGGCUUUGGAAGAGCAGCUGGAGGCAGCGUGUGAUCAGAUAGAUCAUCUGGCAAAGGAGAUCGAGUCACUAAGAAGCCAACAGUUUUGUCUCCAAUGUUUCCAGUGUGAACUCACAACUUUCCAAGGGCCACUGUUAUAUUGUGGCCCCUGCCCACCUCCACUAUUUGGGCAUGAAUGAAGAAUUGUCUUUGAGUUGAUUAUUGUAAGCAUUUAUACAUUUGUCUAAACCUCUA